This 253-nucleotide ribosomal RNA is filed under the name uncultured bacterium. RNAcentral describes it as "partial 16S ribosomal RNA". It matches the Rfam family "Bacterial small subunit ribosomal RNA", at positions 524 to 776 of the family's 1533-position model. The record is from RNAcentral.
UACAGAGGGUGCGAGCGUUGUCCGGAAUCACUGGGCGUAAAGGGCGCGUAGGUGGCGACCCAAGUCGAUGGUGAAAGCUCGCCGCUCAACGGCGAGUCGGCCACCGAUACUGGGUUGCUUGAGCACUGUAGAGGCUAAUGGAAUUCCGGGUGUAGCGGUGGAAUGCGUAGAGAUCCGGAAGAACACCGGUGGCGAAGGCGGUCUGCUGGGCAGUGGCUGACACUGAGGCGCGACAGCGUGGGGAGCAAACAGG